Long non-coding RNA from Stegostoma tigrinum, 404 nucleotides. RefSeq lists it as uncharacterized. Lineage: Eukaryota; Metazoa; Chordata; Chondrichthyes; Orectolobiformes; Stegostomatidae. The transcript is spliced from 3 exons. The record is from RefSeq and is a predicted model, not a curated record.
CACUGUUUGGUACCAUAGGUUGGUACGAUCUUCGUUUGAGAAGGAAAAGGGAUGUUCCAGAUACAGAAAAUCGUCAAACCAUUUACUACAAAGUCCGUUUCUGGGUGGAGUUAGUGGAACCGAAAAAGAUGUCUCCCUCACAGCGUUUGUGACAAAAGAAUUGCAUCGUUCCUUGGCGGCCUUUCAACAGAAGAAUAUUCAGAGAUUUCCCGAGUGUUGGUCGAGUGGAUCACAGAAAGUCUGGCAACAAAAAAGCUGCAAUGGUUACCUCGUCACUGCUUCCAACUCCUCCUCUUUCUCAGCUGGUGCCCGAUCACUGGCAGCGACAGCGUACCCUCAUGAUGCCAAGGUUGGAGACUAUCAAGAAUCAUGACGACACCGGCCCUUCUCUGUACUGCAGGACU